This 776-nucleotide ribosomal RNA is filed under the name uncultured archaeon. RNAcentral's name for it is "bacterial SSU rRNA". It matches the Rfam family "Archaeal small subunit ribosomal RNA", at positions 462 to 1239 of the family's 1478-position model. The record is from RNAcentral.
CAGCCGCGGUAAUACCAGCGGCCCUAGUGGUGAUCGUUUUUAUUGGGCCUAAAGCGUCCGUAGCCGGUUCGGUAAAUCUCUGGGUAAAUCGUUGGGCUUAACCCAACGAAUUCUGGGGAGACUGCCGAACUUGGGACCGGGAGAGGUCGGAGGUACUCCAGGGGUAGGGGUGAAAUCCUGUAAUCCUUGGGGGACCACCGGUGGCGAAAGCGUCCGACCAGAACGGGUCCGACGGUAAGGGACGAAGCCCUGGGUCGCGAACCGGAUUAGAUACCCGGGUAGUCCAGGGUGUAAACGCUGUGCGCUUGGUGUAGGGGGUCCUACGAGGGCAUCCUGUGCCGGAGAGAAGUUGUUAAGCGCACCGCCUGGGGAGUACGGUCGCAAGACUGAAACUUAAAGGAAUUGGCGGGGGAGCACAGCAACGGGAGGAGCGUGCGGUUUAAUUGGAUUCAACGCCGGAAAACUCACCAGGGGCGACUGCCACAUGAAGAUCAAGCUGAUGACUUUAUCUGAUUGGUAGAGAGGUGGUGCAUGGCCGUCGUCAGUUCGUACCGUAGGGCGUUCUGUUAAGUCAGAUAACGAACGAGACCCUUGCCCUUAAUUGCCAUGUUUCCCUCCGGGGGAACGGUACUUUAAGGGGACCGCUGGUGCAAAAUCAGAGGAAGGGAAGGGCAACGGUAGGUCAGUAUGCCCCGAAUCCCCUGGGCAACACGCGCGCUACAAAGGCCGGGACAAAGGGUUCCGACACCGAGAGGUGAAGGUAAUCCCGCAACCCC